This is a long non-coding RNA of Neofelis nebulosa (Clouded leopard), 4173 nucleotides long. RefSeq lists it as uncharacterized. The record is from RefSeq and is a predicted model, not a curated record. Lineage: Eukaryota; Metazoa; Chordata; Mammalia; Carnivora; Felidae. The transcript is spliced from 2 exons.
CACAGAAUCCGAAGCAGGCCCCAGGCUCUGAGCUGUCAGCAGAGAGCCCAAUGUGGGGCUCAAACUCACAAACCGUGAGAUCACAACCUGAGCUAAAGUUGGCCGCUUAACUGACCCAGCCACCUGGGCGCCCCUUUAAUUUUUAAAAUAAAAUUUUACUUUAGAUAGACAGUGCACAAGUGGGGGAGAGGGAGAGAGAGAAUGUCAAGCAGGCUCCAUGCUAUCCGUGCAGAGCCCGACAUGGGGCUCGAUCCCAUGAACUGUGAGAUCAUGACCAGAGCUGAAAUCAAGAAGUUGGUGCUCAACCGACUGAGUGACCCAGAUGCCCCCUUUGCUUUUUGUAAAGCUUUAGCUAUUAACCCAGUAAGUAAGUUCUUAAAAAAAAAUAACGGGUCUUAGCUCAAAUGGCUCCACUGUUGAAAUGUGAGUGUAACAAAUUGUGCUGGACGUGAUUUGAGGCAUUAAAACUUCGCAGGUGAAGAAGCCCCUAGUCUUCCGUUCAGUUUUGCUGUGAACCUGAAACCACUUUAAGAAAUAAGGCCUGCUAAAACAACGACAAUAACAUUCUGCAGUUGGAUGUUUGGAGCAUUCGGUCAGCCAAUGAUUGGCUGCUGAUUUGGGAAAGACCGAGAGGCACCCGUGACUCUACAUAACAGACCUGAGAAUCGAAGGCACUUGUGGUGGCUGUGGUACAAGCAGUGGCCUGAGCCACGGUCCCAUCUCCCCGUGGGCUUAGGAAUACGCUGCAUUCCUGAUAUUCCUGUAGGGAAUUAGAUGAUUGGAUGUUUUAGGGAACGAAUGGGAAGCCUAGAGUCCCCUGUUACUGGUAUGGGAUGGUCUCUGAUGGCGUCAGUUGCCCAGAUGGUUUCUUUUGGAGGAACGGCAUUUAUGUCACAAGGCUCUUUUGGCACAGUCCUUGUCCUGUUCAUUUGCCUAAUCAGCCAUAUUUUGGCAUUCAGUAAAAGCUGAGGUUGCUGGUGGGUGGAGGAAUGAAAGCUAAGCAGGUCGCCCUGCAUUUCGAGUAUUUUGGUGUGUGGCACCGUUUGGUGUUUGCAAAUGCACCAAACAAUUCCUGUUACUUUGGCAGUAGGUGUGACAGACGGGAUGCCUGCUCAGGCCAGGGAUGGGGGCGGGGGCCAGCCCCGGGCUUUUCCUCCUGAGGACAACUGGGAAUUGCCGGAAUGGGCCCUUCUAAGCAGGGAGAACAGAACACAUGAGUGGGAAGAAUGGACAGGAGCCAAGCCAGGAGGCAGGUGACCGGAGGGGGGCUUUCGCUGCCUUCGUGGACGAGCGAGGGCCUUAUCCAAGAGUGGUAUCGGAGCAGAAAAGGAGGGGGAAGGUCAGGUGGGGGAGACGCUUGGAGGACACAGGCCAGAUGCGGUGCUAGAGUGUUGAUGUGUUAGCUUUCUCGGGCUCUUGUAACAAAUUAACACAAAGUUGGUGGUUUAAACAACAGAAAUUUUUCCUCUCACGGUUCCAAAGGCUAGAAAUCCCAAAUCAGGGUGACAUCAGCUUUGUUCUCCCCCCGAAGACCCUAGGAGGGGUCCUUCCUGCCUCUUCCAGCGUCUGGUGGCCCCAGACAUUGUUGGCUUGUGUCUGUACCACUCUGCCCUCUGCCUCCGUUUUCACAUGGCCUCCCUGUGUGUCUGUGUCUCAUCCCCAGGACGACCUCAUCUCAAGAUCCUUAACUUGAGUAUGUCUGCAAAGACUCUUUCCAAAUAAGGUCACAUUCACAGUGAACAGGCAGAUGUGACGAUAUGAACGAAGAGGGAGGCACUUCUGCUAAUGCUGUUAUUUGGACAAAAGUUAACGCCACUCACCGACUCAGGGAAAGUUUGAGGACGUGCUGUCUUGCACGUGCUUUGGGGACAUAUUGUUUUUCGCAUAAGCCAGGCAGACUCCCUCCAGCCAGAAACAAAACAAAACAAAACAAAGCAACAAAUGACUUACAUACCCUUUAAAAUUGGCUGUGCUUUCCACUGUGACCCUUUUGAUUCAAACUGAAUGUAUCUUUUAAGUUUGUGAGAUUCUUCUUUUCGUUGGUGUUAGGUUUCUGGGCCUUGGUUUGUUUCCCAAGAGCACUGGAGUUUUCUUGCUGUCUUUCUUUCCUGGGCACAGAGAUGACUUUGAUAUUCUCUUAGGGGCCCAGGUCAGAAGCCAAUCACCUCUUACCUCUCGCCUCACGUCCACAUGUUUGUUUUUCUGCCCCACAGCUUCUGGCUUUGCUUCCUUUACCCUCCACCAAGCUGCCCCCUUAUUCGGUGACACUGCCUCCUUCUGACAGGAGGCUUCUAAUUGCAUUCCCGCCUCUGACCCUGCUUUUCCCCGUGCCCUCCAUAGCACUGUCAAUACCAUAUUUUAUAGUAACAGUGGUUCAGUGAUCUGUAAUUUACAUACAGUAAAGUGCACAAGUUCGGAAUGAACAGCUGCGUGAUUUUUGACAAACUCACGCACCUGUGCUUCGUCCCCCAGCUUGAAAUAGAAUUUCCUCUAUUUUCUACUCAACCCCCGCCCAUCAGAGGCCACCACUGCUCAGAUUUCUGUCCCCACGGGUUAGUUCAGCCAGCACUGGGACUUGGGUGGAAUCACACAGUGCGUGCCCUGGUGCCUGGCUUCUUUCCUGCGACAUCAUGGUUUUGAGAUCUGUCCGUGCUAUGUAUGUGUCUCAAAGUUGCUUUUAUUUCUUUUUCUCAUUUUUAACAGCUUUAUGGAGGUAAAAUUCAAUAUAUGCGUGUAUACACACACACACACACACACACACACACACACCAUAUUCUUUGUCCAUUUAAAGUAUAGAUGUAAAUGGUUUUGGGUGCACCCAGUUAUGACUUUAUUUAGUCGUAUAUAUACAUAUAUAUCUAUAUAUAUAUUUACUUAUUUAUAGUGUGGUGUAUAUAUAUAUAUAUGUUUAUAUUUAUAGUGUGGUAUAUAUAUACAUAUAUAUAUAACAUAACAUUUCCCCUUUUAGCCAUUGUAACGAACACACGGUUCAGUAGCAUGACUUACUCUCACACUGUUGUGCAAGUGUCACUGCCAUCUAUUUUUAUCACCCCGAACAGGCACCCUGUAGCCACGAAGCAAUAACUCCCCAUUCCUUCCCCUCGUCCCCCGUCCCCCCCCCCCCCCCUCCCGCCUUGGUUCUGGGAGCCUGUAACCUACUUUCUGUUUCUGAGUUUGCCUCUUCUAGAUGGCACAUAGAUGGAAUCAUAGAGUGUCUUUUGCGCCUGGCUCCUUGCACACAGCAUAAUGCCUCCACGGUUCAUCUGUGUUGCGGCACGUGCUAGAGUUUCAUUCCUUAACUUAAAGAGAUAGUACCCCAUUGUACGUGGCUGCAUUUCUCUCAUCCACUCAUCUGUUGACGGACACAUCUGUUGACGCCUCUUGUCGCUCUCGUGAAUCAUGGCACCAGGAACAGGGCUGUACAAAGAUCUGUUGAGUCCCUACGUUAAAUUCCUUCAGGUACAUCCCUAGGAGGAGAAUUGUUGGGUCAUGUGGUCACCCCGUGUUUAGCUUUCCGAGGAGCCACCAAACUGUUCCACAGUGUGGCACUAUUUUACCUUCUGACCAGUGGUGCCCACGGGGUCCAGUUUCCCCACAUCCUCGCCAAUACUUGAUGUUUUCUGUUUUUCUUGAUUAUAGGCAUCCUAGCAGAUGUGGGAUAUCUCACUGUGGUUUUGGCCGUUUGUAUAUCUUUGGCUCAGUUUUUUUUUUUUUUUUGUGCCAUCAGUCCUUCAUGAGAUAUAAUUUACACACAGAGAAAUGCAUAACUCUUAAAGGUACAGUGAGUGAAUUCUGACAAAUAUAUGCAUAUAAAUAUUACCCCAAUUGAGAUGUAGGAUGUUUCCAUUACCCUGAAAAGUUCUCUCCUACUCCUUCCAAUAAUCCCCUUUACUGUUUUUUUAUCACCAUCGAUUAAUUUUGCCUGUCCUUGGGUUUCAUUAAAUGGAAUCAAACAGCAUGCAUUUUGUUACGUCUGACGUUAUUUCAUUGGACGCAGUGUGUUUGAGACCUAUUGCUGGUGUUGCACGUAUCAGAAUUUUGUUCUUUUUUGCUGAGUGGUAUUCCUAAACUUGAGUAUAGCAGUUUCCUUAUCCAGUCUUUUGAGGAUGAAUAUUUGGGUUGUUUGCAAUUUUUGGCUGUUAUGAAUAAAACUGCUCCAAACAUUCUUAUGCA